RNAcentral lists this long non-coding RNA (1076 nucleotides) under Neodiprion lecontei (redheaded pine sawfly). RNAcentral describes it as "uncharacterized LOC124295295". Lineage: Eukaryota; Metazoa; Arthropoda; Insecta; Hymenoptera; Diprionidae. The record is from RNAcentral.
ACGUAACGAUACACUGUUAGGGGAAAUCGUUAUUCUGCAACUUGAGAACUGUUAAUUCAGUAUACUGAUACUAAUUCUAACAAAGUUAAUUAUAUACGGAUACUAAUUCUUCAACUUCAUAACUGUCCCACAGAUUCUAAUCUAUUUUAAAUUCAUAACUCCUUCAAUCGUUCCAAAGACACAAACAUUGAUUUUUGUUUGAGUCAAUGUUCGUUACUGCAUUCACAUAACGAUUUUCAACAAAUCAAAGGCAUGGGUGAUCCCCUUUGAUCUGAAUUUCAAGGUGAGAAAAAAUGCAUAGAUCAUCCGUUUGACUAGUAACAAUUAGAUACUUGACUCACGAAACAGUUGUCAGUUUAUUGUCGGAUCGUCAUGAAUUAUGAGAUUUCACGAUGUAUAAACGUUGAGUCAAGAUGUUGAACACUGCUAGCGUAAUGGGGCCUUCCGUAACCAAAAAUGAAGGAGAUGAAUUCAUCGUCAAGCGGUGAACUCUGCGGCGCGCAACGCAAGUCGCUAAACGGUCGGCACGUCAAGGCGAGAAGAAAUAAUGUACUAUCACGUGUACACUUGUGGAUCUCGAAGAUGUGGACAGUGAUUUUGAAAAGGCUAAUUUUUUCCCUAGUUUAUUACGUUGGCAAUGGAGUCUGCCCGAAACGCUACACCGGCCGCAGGCUCAAUCUCUGUAAACAUAACAGAACGCAAGAAUAUAAAAUUCACAUUACAUAAUAUGAGCGUUGACUGAAGAUAUAUAAAGACUGAUAGCCUUAUGGAACUUUUCGUAAUCGAAAAUGGAGAAGAUAAAUUCAUCGUCAAGCAGCGCUCUCUGCGUCCUUUCUUGCACGCGCAACUCAAGUCGAUAAGCGGUCGGAACGUACAGACGACAAAAAUUGAUGUUUCCAUCCUAACUCCAUCGCUCAUCGCGUGUGCCCAGAUAACGCAGAGACGAAUAUUGUUGUGCCUACGGAGUGACGAACGGGAACGGAAUGAAAUUUUCAUACAACUCCGUGUGGACGUCGUAUGCUUUUCAAUUACGCAAAUUCAUUUGGGCCAAAUUCAGCAACGUCAGUCUAACUUCA